UACGUAGGGGGCAAGCGUUGUCCGGAAUCAUUGGGCGUAAAGCGCGUGUAGGCGGUUCGAUUAGUCUGCUGUGAAAGUCAGGGGCUCAACCCUUGAAUGCCGGUGGAUACUGUCGGGCUAGAGUGCGGAAGAGGCGAGUGGAAUUCCUGGUGUAGCGGUGAAAUGCGCAGAUAUCAGGAGGAACACCAAUUGCGAAGGCAGCUCGCUGGGACGUUACUGACGCUGAGACGCGAAAGCGUGGGGAGCGAACAGG
RNAcentral lists this ribosomal RNA (253 nucleotides) under uncultured bacterium. Its description in RNAcentral is "partial 16S ribosomal RNA". It matches the Rfam family "Bacterial small subunit ribosomal RNA", at positions 524 to 776 of the family's 1533-position model. The record is from RNAcentral.